Molecule: unclassified non-coding RNA, 349 nt
Filed under: soil metagenome
Description: partial contains 5.8S ribosomal RNA, internal transcribed spacer 2, and large subunit ribosomal RNA
Rfam family: 5.8S ribosomal RNA (bases 1-120)
Source: RNAcentral
GAUGAAGAACGUAGCGAAAUGCGAUAAGUAAUGUGAAUUGCAGAAUUCAGUGAAUCAUCGAAUCUUUGAACGCACAUUGCGCCCGCCAGUAUUCUGGCGGGCAUGCCUGUCCGAGCGUCAUUUCAACCCUCGAACCCCUCCGGGGGGUCGGCGUUGGGGAUCGGCCCCUCACCGGGCCGCCCCCGAAAUCCAGUGGCGGUCUCGCCGCAGCCUCUCCUGCGCAGUAGUUUGCACACUCGCACCGGGAGCGCGGCGCGGCAACAGCCGUAAAACACCCCAAACUCUGAAAUGUUGACCUCGGAUCAGGUAGGAAUACCCGCUGAACUUAAGCAUAUCAAUAAGCGGAGGA